Molecule: ribosomal RNA, 406 nt
Filed under: uncultured bacterium
Lineage: Bacteria
Description: partial 16S ribosomal RNA
Rfam family: Bacterial small subunit ribosomal RNA
Source: RNAcentral
AUUGAACGCUGGCGGCAAGCCUAACACAUGCAAGUCGAGCGCGCGGCGGACGGGUGCGUAAUGUCUGGGAAACUGCCUGAUGUAGGUGGAUAACUACUGGAAAUGGUAGCUAUUCCCGCUUACCAUCCGCUUUUCCCAGACGGGAUUGGCUAGUAGUUGGGGUAACGGCUCACCUAGGCGACGCUCCCUAGCUGGUCUGAGAGGAUGAACAGCCACACGGGAACUGAGACACGGUCCAGAAUCCUACGUGAGGCAGCAGUGGGGAAUAGUGCACAAUGGGCGCAAGUGUGAGACAGACAUGCCGCGUGUGUGAAGAGGGCCUUCGGGUUGGAAAGCACUUUCAGCGGGGAGGCGUUAAACGCAGAAGAAGCACCGGCUAACUCCGUGCCAGCAGCCGCGGUAAUUC